GGGAGAUAGUAUGAGCAACAAGAUUGCUUUCCCAGGGUGAGGCCUGUCCCUCGCACUCAGGGCAUGCUGACCCCUGUGAUUUUCCCCAAGGUGGUUCUCCCA
Molecule: small nuclear RNA, 102 nt
Filed under: Crocodylus porosus (Australian saltwater crocodile)
Lineage: Eukaryota; Metazoa; Chordata; Crocodylia; Crocodylidae
Description: U1 spliceosomal RNA (ENSCPRG00005009020.1)
Rfam family: U1 spliceosomal RNA
About the family: U1 is a small nuclear RNA (snRNA) component of the spliceosome (involved in pre-mRNA splicing).
Source: RNAcentral